CGAGCCAGCAAAGAAGCAAAGCCCAAAAUGGCCGCAGUCGGACACCCCGGAAGCUGCCGGACUACACCGAGGGCCGAGGGCGUCUACGCUUACCGCCCAGCGCCACCUAACGUCAUUUGCAGAACCCCACCCCCAUCCCCCGAGAGGCGGGCUUGCCUCACCCUCGCGCGUGGCCGCUGAUUGGCUGCGACUGUGGUCCCUGUCGGCUUCCUUACUCUGGAUAGAGCGGGCUCACACGCGGAAAAUUGCAUCAGCCGGACCCAGGAUGUACGCAGGCGCAAUCAAUUGGUUCUGGUCUCCUAGGAGACCGCACGCCCCACCCUCUGAGUUAGAGGGAAGGGCUCAGGGAGGUGAAGGCCUUUCUACAGGACCUGGGAAUUCUCCUGAGCCCCUUUUUAUGGAUUCGAUACGUGAGGCAGAGUAUCACUUAUCGGUCAUCUCCUAUUGUUAAGUAAAUGGGCUGUCUACAGGGCACUAGCUGUCCUGGAACUGACUGUGUAAACCAGGCUGACCUUGAAAACAGAGACCCGCCUGCCUCUACCUAUCCUUUAAUCUCUGCAGAGGUUAAAGGCAUGUGACACCACACCUGAUGAUCAUGUUUAAAAUGGAGUCAUCAGGAUGAGCCCUGAUCCAAUUAAUUCCAAUUAAUAGAAUACUUAUUGAAGAGGGGACCCUGGACAGAGACGUGUGUAUGCACGCAGCGCACACAGAGAGAGUGCUGUGAGAACAUGAAGCCAAAUGUUAGAGUCAUGCAUCCAACAGCAAAUAACGGGACACUGGAAGAGAAGCCUG
This 792-nucleotide long non-coding RNA is filed under the name Cricetulus griseus (Chinese hamster). RNAcentral's name for it is "lncRNA (ENSCGRG00015034843.1)". The record is from RNAcentral. Lineage: Eukaryota; Metazoa; Chordata; Mammalia; Rodentia; Cricetidae.